UUGAACGCUGGCGGUAUGCUUAACACAUGCAAGUCGAACGGAAACGAUACUAGCUUGCUAGUAGGCGUCGAGUGGCGGACGGGUGAGUAACGCGUAGGAAUCUGCCUGAUAGUGGGGGAUAGCCCGAAGAAAUUCGGAUUAAUACCGCAUAAUCUAUUCGUAGUAAAGUGGGGGACUUUCGAGCCUCACGCUAUCAGAUGAGCCUGCGUAAGAUUAGCUUGUUGGUAGGGUAAAAGCCUACCAAGGCGACGAUCUUUAGCUGGUCUGAGAGGAUGAUCAGCCACAUCGGGACUGAGACACGGCCCGAACUCCUACGGGAGGCAGCAGUGGGGAAUAUUGGACAAUGGGGGCAACCCUGAUCCAGCAAUACCGCGUGUGUGAAGAAGGCCUGAGGGUUGUAAAGCACUUUCAAUUGUGAAGAAAAGUUAACGGUUAAUAACCGUUAGCCUUGACGUUAACUUUAGAAGAAGCACCGGCUAACUCCGUGCCAGCAGCCGCGGUAAUACGGAGGGUGCAAGCGUUAAUCGGAAUUACUGGGCGUAAAGCGUGCGUAGGCGGUUUAUUAAGUCAGAUGUGAAAGCCCCGGGCUUAACCUGGGAACUGCAUUUGAAACUGGUCAACUAGAGUAUGGUAGAGGAAAGUGGAAUUUCUGGUGUAGCGGUGAAAUGCGUAGAUAUCAGAAGGAACAUCAAUGGCGAAGGCAGCUUUCUGGACCAAUACUGACGCUGAGGUACGAAAGCGUGGGUAGCAAACAGGAUUAGAUACCCUGGUAGUCCACGCCGUAAACGAUGAUAACUAGCCGUUGGGGGGAUUUACCCUUUAGUGGCGAAGCUAACGCGUUAAGUUAUCCGCCUGGGGAGUACGGCCGCAAGGUUAAAACUCAAAGGAAUUGACGGGGACCCGCACAAGCGGUGGAGCAUGUGGUUUAAUUCGAUGCAACGCGAAGAACCUUACCUGGUCUUGACAUCCUGCGAACUUUCUAGAAAUAGAUUGGUGCCUUCGGGAACGCAGUGACAGGUGCUGCAUGGCUGUCGUCAGCUCGUGUCGUGAGAUGUUGGGUUAAGUCCCGUAACGAGCGCAACCCCUAUCCUUAUUUGCCAGCACAUCAUGGUGGGAACUAUAAGGAGACUGCCGGUGAUAAACCGGAGGAAGGCGGGGACGACGUCAAGUCAUCAUGGCCCUUACGACCAGGGCUACACACGUGCUACAAUGGGAAGGACAAAGAGCCGCGAAGCCGCGAGGUGUAGCUAAUCUCAUAAACCUUUUCGUAGUCCGGAUUGGAGUCUGCAACUCGACUCCAUGAAGUCGGAAUCGCUAGUAAUCGUAGAUCAGAAUGCUACGGUGAAUACGUUCCCGGGUCUUGUACACACCGCC
This 1374-nucleotide ribosomal RNA is filed under the name uncultured bacterium. RNAcentral's name for it is "bacterial SSU rRNA". It matches the Rfam family "Bacterial small subunit ribosomal RNA", at positions 29 to 1394 of the family's 1533-position model. The record is from RNAcentral.